This 253-nucleotide ribosomal RNA is filed under the name uncultured bacterium. RNAcentral describes it as "partial 16S ribosomal RNA". It matches the Rfam family "Bacterial small subunit ribosomal RNA", at positions 524 to 776 of the family's 1533-position model. The record is from RNAcentral.
UACGUAGGGGGCUAGCGUUGUCCGGAAUCAUUGGGCGUAAAGAGCGUGUAGGCGGCCCGGUAAGUCCGCUGUGAAAGUCGGGGGCUCAACCCUCGAAUGCCGGUGGAUACUGUCGGGCUAGAGUGCGGAAGAGGCGAGUGGAAUUCCUGGUGUAGCGGUGAAAUGCGCAGAUAUCAGGAAGAACACCCGUGGCGAAGGCGGCUCUCUGGGAUGGUACUGACGCUGAGACGCGAAAGCGUGGGGAGCGAACAGG